RNAcentral lists this ribosomal RNA (484 nucleotides) under uncultured bacterium. RNAcentral's name for it is "partial 16S ribosomal RNA". It matches the Rfam family "Bacterial small subunit ribosomal RNA", at positions 30 to 507 of the family's 1533-position model. The record is from RNAcentral.
AUUGAACGCUGGCGGCAGGCCUAACACAUGCAAGUCGAGCGGAUGAAGGGAGCUUGCUCCUGGAUUCAGCGGCGGACGGGUGAGUAAUGCCUAGGAAUCUGCCUGGUAGUGGGGGAUAACGUCCGGAAACGGGCGCUAAUACCGCAUACGUCCUGAGGGAGAAAGUGGGGGAUCUUCGGACCUCACGCUAUCAGAUGAGCCUAGGUCGGAUUAGCUAGUUGGUGGGGUAAAGGCCUACCAAGGCGACGAUCCGUAACUGGCCUGAGAGGAUGAUCAGUCACACUGGAACUUAGACACGCUCCAGACUCCUACGGGAGGCAGCAGUGGGGAAUAUUGGACAAUGGGCGAAAGCCUGGUCCAGCCAUGCCGCGUGUGUGAAGAAGGUCUUCGGAUUGUAAAGCACUUUAAGUUGGGAGGAAGGGCAGUAAGUUAAUACCUUGCUGUUUUGACGUUACCAACAGAAUAAGCACCGGCUAACUUCGUG